This 258-nucleotide long non-coding RNA is filed under the name Phoenix dactylifera (date palm). Its description in RNAcentral is "long non-coding RNA (PDAC_LNC006153)". The record is from RNAcentral. Lineage: Eukaryota; Viridiplantae; Streptophyta; Magnoliopsida; Arecales; Arecaceae.
AGAGACCAUCCCCUGCCACCGCCGCUAACAAUUAAUGAGCAUGGACUCUGCAGACCUUCGGCUUAUUCAACAAUUAAUACACAUGGCUCCUGCUAUCUACUGAUCUCAAGCCCUCCACGGCAAAUCCACUCGGUUGCGUCUGAUUAGCCAUGACAGCUCCUUGGCCCCGGCCUAAUCUCCUACGGCAAGACAUUAAUUCACACAAUCCCGCAUUAAUUAAUACAACAUGCUCAAUCAUACGAUAACUCCGCCCCGUCA